This is a long non-coding RNA of Triticum dicoccoides, 3560 nucleotides long. RefSeq lists it as uncharacterized. The transcript is spliced from 3 exons. The record is from RefSeq and is a predicted model, not a curated record. Lineage: Eukaryota; Viridiplantae; Streptophyta; Magnoliopsida; Poales; Poaceae.
UCAACUGCGAUCGGAUUAGUUAGAAGACAAAAAGAAAUCCCCGAUGCUUCCUUCGUUGCCCCUCUCUCCUGUUUCUCUUCUCUCGAUUCCCCAAGCCAACGCUAGCCGCCGCCGACUCCCCAACCCCGGCCUCCACUCCAUCGCUGGCGGCCUCUCCCCCUUUCUCCCUGGACGCAUAUCCACUUGAGCAGCACGGCCACGGUCAGAUCUGCCCCUCCGUCCUCGCGCCAGAAACCCUAGUCGUCCGGCCAUGGUGACCAACCGCAGGCACAUACCUCGACGACGGUGGCGCCACGGAGCGGAGCUUCCUCUGCCCGGGACGCCGCUCAUGUGCUCGUCAAGGUCCGCUGCUCCGGACACAGCUUCGGUGCCUUAAAGGCACCUGCCUUUGGGUCACUGACAUGUGGGCCAGCCACCUGUUGGACCCACAUGUCAUAGACACAAAGGUAGGUGCCUUAAGGCACCGAAGCAUUGUCCGUCCCAGUCCCAGGAUAAGCAGCAGUAGCAUGAAGGUACGACCCUCUCUCUUGAUUUCCUCUUAUUCCCUCCCUUUCCUUUCCCUAAGGCAGGGGAUUUGCUUUCCUUGGUAGGUGCACGCAUCUCCUCCUCCCUGCCAUUUUGUUUUGUUGCUCCAUGAGCAGAUACCUUUCUAUAGUAGAGAUCUAAUAAGCUUCUGUUGAUUUUUUUAGAGGAAAAAGGUUACAUUUGCUUGACCAUAUGUAUCCUUUUAGUGAAGUUUGUAACAGGCUAUUCAAGCAGGAGUAUGUGUAAACAUAUUUGCUAUAACUGAUGAAUACACCGAUUUGGCUUUGUCGAAGUUUUAAAGUAUUGAAAGUGGUGGCUCAUUAUUUCUCUAUGCAAACUCGGAUGAUUCAACACUUCACCAGGACAUGUGAGCUUGAUCUUAUGAUUGUCCUCUGUAUUUUAUUUCUGAAAUUCCCUGUGUAGGUUCCUGAUAAGAUGUCAAAUUCCACCGCCUAGGUUCCUGAUAAGAUGUGAAUGGUCUUUUCCUCGUUGCCUUGCCUUUUCUUAUGAACAGGUAUUGCCUAUUGAGUAGACCCUAUGCAUUUGGUUGUGUUCUCAAGAUGAGAACAUCGCAAGGUUUUGAUCCUGGCCACUCUGUAAGCCUUCAAGCUACCUGUAUUCACAUUAUCUAUAUGAUCAAAUUCAAUGUCUGUCACCGUAAAAGUGUUUAACCCACCUUGGGUGCCACUGACCUGUUAGGUCUGGACCCACAUGCCAUUGAUGCAAUAGUGGCAUAACUGUUACAAAAAUUGCAGUAACAGAUAAGGAUUUAACACUUAACCAUACCAUCUAAUUUUUAAUGUAUCCAUCUUUUUGCAGUAUGGCCAUUUCUUCCUUGAUCCUCAAUAUGAAAAUGUGCAACAUAUUAACUGCUGUGAGUCAAUUCAGAUUAUCAUAGGUAAUUCGCAUAAUGGAUUGUCAUAAAUAAUUUGCAUCAUGUUGUACCAACAAACAAAGGGAGUGCAUGGUUCUACUAGCUUAUUUGUGUUCGAUCCUCCAACUGGCUCUGCAUGCCCCAAGAUUUGAAGCGUGACUGACUUUUUUUUGUCUACUGAGUUAUUUCGUUACAAUCAUCAGUGGAGAUUUCUAAAAAAAUAUGUGGAUUGGUAAGACUAAGUUCGACUAUCGUAUUUAAUGGGUCAUAAUUUCUUAUUCCAAAAGCAGAUGUUACACAAAAAUACAUGAGUUCAUGGGGGAGCACGUCAACAAGGCUGCUGCAUGAGUUCAUGUCGUCGGCAGUGGCUCGCUCGUCAACAAGGCUGAUGAAAUCAGGGGGAGCACGAGCGGGUCCGUGGACGAGCACACUUGAUGCUUCUUUAAUUCACUACAGCAAAAUACUAACAGCAUCAACAUCGAUAGUGUUCGCCACUCUCCUGACGGUGUCUCCGAUACUUUGGCCCCAGAUUAAUUAGUUGCAGCAUCACCAUAGAUUUCCCUCCUGCGGACUAUAUAGGUUGGUGUGAGCUCGGUUUGAUUUGGCCUGGUUUUGAUGUCUACUGUGUGCAGGUGCCAAAGGUGUCCGAUCGAACUCAGUUGGAGGUCAAACAGGUUCAUCUCUCGGGCAUGCCACCAAUAACGCUCGAUGACACCGAUGCGCAGACUGUAAGUUUACCCCCUCAGCCCUGAUAUAUUGGUGUGAGACACCCUGCAUUUACAUGAUAUUGCUAGGAACGCGUGCAAAUUUCAUAAUUUGUUAUACAUGCUGCUUAACUUGAUCACCGGUGUGCUGUUAAUUGGAACUCAAGAGAAUAGAGAUGACACCUUACCAUAGGCAACUCUUAAUUAUGUGCGCGUUAAUUCAAUUCUGAAAGUUGAUUCAAGUCUGUAGUGAUUGAAGUAGAUUCAUAGAAGCAAUUCCGUUAGUAUGUGAACAAAAAGCUCAUCUUAUAUGUGUGACCGGAGUUGCAGAAUAUGAAUAGGGCAAUGAUCAUAGAUGCCAACACCUACAACGUGAUUUAUCUUGAUAGAGGUGCAAUGGAUUCGUAAGUAGUUUUGAUGUUUUUUCUAGAUAGCUCAAGUACUUAAGCUUCUGCAUUCAUGAAAAACAAAAGAAGGGACUAGUAGUCAGGUUCCAUUAAUCCUUCUAUAGGUGUUCUCUUUGAUGCCUUUCCCCCUUCAUUACUAGUACAAUGAUGAUUUCUCUAUUAACCUUCUCGGUGGAGUUGGGCACUGUGCUCUUGACCUUGAAAGUGUAUUUGCAACUUUACUCAUAAUACCUUUGUGUGAUAGUGAGGCAAUUUAGUUGCAUGCCUUCAGUCACAAAAAAAGUCCUCGAAAUAAAAACGAAAGAAAAAGUAACAAGAGUUGUUGAAAAUACGAAUGGGUCAUCAAUGGCCAUAGAACAGGAGAGCAAUUUGAAUGGACAAUGGAAACAUGAGUAAAAGAAGCAGCUAAACGGAGGCCGCUCGCCCAGAGUGUCUCGGAGGAGGAUGACAGUGCCGCUGGAUUGGCGGAUGACUACUUCUUGGUGGCGUAUGGAUGUCGUACUGUAUGGAUCUUGAUUGGAUAGUUCCUGACCUCAUUCUAGGAGGCUGAUUGGAGCCUGCCAGCUGCAAUGAAGUCCUCCAUAGAGAAGGGUUUGCGGAAAAUGAUCUUGGCAUCCCAGAUAAGCAGGUCGGAGUCAAAGCCAGUGCCGAGGGGGAUUUCAAUGGAUCACCAACACGAGAAAUUGAAAUGGCAGGACCAGAAAAGAUGGUCCCAGGUCUCACUGCAGCCGGAUGUGCAAGAACACAUCAAUGAUCAUCUGUGAGACUAACACUGAAAUUUUGUCGAUGGAGCAUUACCUAUGUUAUUUAGCUUCUAGAGUACAAUGACUUGUACGUACAACUAUAACAGCUAGCAGCAUGGUUUAUCCCCUUCUGGUUCUACUAUUUCUCUAGAGUGAUGGCAUAGGAAGAGCAUGUGUAUAUGUUGAGGUUAGUCUUCUGAAACUAAUGCUGCAGAUGUUGUUUGUAGACUCAGCAUGUGUUUAUUUUAUUUUUACUUCUUUGUGACGUUUGUUGGUUUGGCAUGUGGAUAAGAUUUUUUUUAGUUUA